RNAcentral lists this ribosomal RNA (356 nucleotides) under Charmallaspis pulcherrima. RNAcentral describes it as "SSU rRNA". It matches the Rfam family "Eukaryotic small subunit ribosomal RNA", at positions 1172 to 1489 of the family's 1831-position model. Lineage: Eukaryota; Metazoa; Arthropoda; Insecta; Coleoptera; Cerambycidae. The record is from RNAcentral.
AGGAGUGGAGCCUGCGGCUUAAUUUGACUCAACACGGGAAACCUCACCAGGCCCGGACACCGGAAGGAUUGACAGAUUGAGAGCUCUUUCUUGAUUCGGUGGGUGGUGGUGCAUGGCCGUUCUUAGUUGGUGGAGCGAUUUGUCUGGUUAAUUCCGAUAACGAACGAGACUCUAGCCUGCUAACUAGGCGUAUUUCGACAUCCCAAAGGCCCGCCGGUUCGGGGUCCUCGGACUCCUUUCCGCGCGCGGUUUUUACUGUCGGCGUACAAACAAUUCUUCUUAGAGGGACAGGCGGCUUCUAGCCGCACGAGAUUGAGCAAUAACAGGUCUGUGAUGCCCUUAGAUGUUCUGGGCCG